This 390-nucleotide ribosomal RNA is filed under the name uncultured Gammaproteobacteria bacterium. Its description in RNAcentral is "bacterial SSU rRNA". It matches the Rfam family "Bacterial small subunit ribosomal RNA", at positions 15 to 403 of the family's 1533-position model. Lineage: Bacteria; Pseudomonadati; Pseudomonadota; Gammaproteobacteria. The record is from RNAcentral.
GAUCUUGGCUCAGAUUGAACGCUGGCGGCAGGCCUAACACAUGCAAGUCGAACGGUAGCACAGAGAGCUUGCUCUUGGGUGACGAGUGGCGGACGGGUGAGUAAUGUCUGGGAAACUGCCCGAUGGAGGGGGAUAACUACUGGAAACGGUAGCUAAUACCGCAUAACGUCGCAAGACCAAAGUGGGGGACCUUCGGGCCUCACACCAUCGGAUGUGCCCAGAUGGGAUUAGCUAGUAGGUGGGGUAAUGGCUCACCUAGGCGACGAUCCCUAGCUGGUCUGAGAGGAUGACCAGCCACACUGGAACUGAGACACGGUCCAGACUCCUACGGGAGGCAGCAGUGGGGAAUAUUGCACAAUGGGCGCAAGCCUGAUGCAGCCAUGCCGCGUG